This 22-nucleotide ribosomal RNA is filed under the name Spiculaea ciliata. Its description in RNAcentral is "partial 26S ribosomal RNA". Lineage: Eukaryota; Viridiplantae; Streptophyta; Magnoliopsida; Asparagales; Orchidaceae. The record is from RNAcentral. RNAcentral also lists the same sequence under 1 other name.
GCGACCCCAGGACGGGCGGGAU